Molecule: long non-coding RNA, 1142 nt
Organism: Bubalus bubalis (water buffalo)
Lineage: Eukaryota; Metazoa; Chordata; Mammalia; Artiodactyla; Bovidae
Exons: 2
Source: RefSeq, a predicted model, not a curated record
AGGGGAGGUGCCGGCAGCACAGAGGCGGGACCAGCGCGGCGCGAACCGAGGAGAGGCAGCUACCGCAGACAGGGCCAAGGGCUCGUAGGAGGGAAGCGGGGUCGGGCACAGAGCCCUUACAGACCCUGAAGCUGCCCUCAGACGCAGACGGACCCCAGAAACAGAGUUCCACAAAGGGGAAGUUUUGGGGGCGCAUUCCUCCUGCCGGCGGCAGGGGGCGGGUGAGCUCAGCCCUGUCUGUUGCAGAGACUCGAGGUCAGGGGAGAGGGCGCCCGACCGACGGUCCUGUGACCGCUUGCACCCCUUCCCCGGCCGCGUCCCACCCUCCUGAACACCCUCCACCCGACCCGUAACACGGUGAGUUGCCUCCGCCAACUGAAUCCUCUACAGGAAAGUUCUCUCUGUACCCAUCCAUGCUGGGCGCGCACCUAGACCAGUGAAGGAACAUUACAAGGCCGGGCAAUCCCCAAGCCUGCUUCACCGGCUCACCUGAUGCGCCCCUGAAAUGCUUCACACACGGCCUGAAGGCAGGUAUUUCUUCAGCAACUGAACCUUCCGGAAGGUAACCCUUACCUCCUGUCAGAGUAUUUUUCAAAGUAAAAGUCUUCCCCACUAAAGAGGAGCCUGUGUGUCUAUGCGGUAGAUGAGAUCGGAAGGGUUAGGCUUGGGGUCAGGGUCAGAGUCGGGGUCAAACUCAGGCACUUUCACCAUUCCGCAGUCAACGUCUGUUCCUGGGAUGACAGAUCCAAGGCCACAUCCGCGCCCCGCCACUGCUCUUGUCCAGGCUGGAAUCUCAGAACCGCACUGCUGUUCAGGCUGAUCAGAGGUGAUCCCAAACACUCACAGCUGUGGCUGGCAUGUCCGAAGCAAUGGUGGAGCCUGUCCAGUAAAUAAACACCAACGACCUCCAAGAUACUCGGAGCGAGGCAUCGAUGCCUGAAGGGACACUCGUGUACUGACCUGUGCAUAGACGUGUCUGAGCGUGUCAUCUCAUCCCGCCCACGUCUGUGCUCAGUCCCCAAAAGUCUGCACCAUGCCUCCAGCUCCAGCCAUCACCACAUGGAUCACAAACCCUCCCCUUGACAGACAUGCCCUAACAGGAACUUGGGAGAGGCUUCAUUCUGGGAGCCCUGGCUAGUGCA